ACACCACACAGAUCCAUUACCUUGUUGCGCCAAAGAGCAACAGCAGACAAGCCAUGAACUUUCAGAUCGCGCUAGGAGUUUUCUGCCUUAUUGUUCUGGCACAAGGAAUGACCACAACCAUGGGUGCUCCUGAGGGGG
Long non-coding RNA from Gadus macrocephalus (Pacific cod), 138 nucleotides. RefSeq lists it as uncharacterized. The record is from RefSeq and is a predicted model, not a curated record. The transcript is spliced from 2 exons. Lineage: Eukaryota; Metazoa; Chordata; Actinopteri; Gadiformes; Gadidae.